GACGAACGCUGGCGGCGUGCUUAACACAUGCAAGUCGAACGAAGUGGCGAACGGGUGAGUAAUGCAUAAUCAACCUGCCCUUCAGAGGGGGACAACAGUUGGAAACACACGCUAAUACCGAAUACGGCAGGUGGGGAGUGAGUCUGCUUAGCUAGUUGGAGGGGGAACGGCCCACCAAGGCGAUGAUCAGUAGCCGGUCUGAGAGGAUGAACUGCCACAUUGGGACUGAGACACGGCCCAGACGCCUACGGGAGGCAGCAGUGGGGAAUCUUCCGCAAUGGACGAAAGUCUGACGGAGCAACGCCGCGUGAGUGAUGACGGCCUUCGGGUUGUAAAGCUCUGUUAAUCGGGACGCGGUACCGGAAUAGAAAGCCACGGCUAACUACGUGCCAGCAGCCGCGGUAAUAC
RNAcentral lists this ribosomal RNA (408 nucleotides) under uncultured bacterium. RNAcentral's name for it is "partial 16S ribosomal RNA". It matches the Rfam family "Bacterial small subunit ribosomal RNA", at positions 28 to 526 of the family's 1533-position model. The record is from RNAcentral.